RNAcentral lists this ribosomal RNA (820 nucleotides) under uncultured eukaryote. RNAcentral describes it as "SSU rRNA". It matches the Rfam family "Eukaryotic small subunit ribosomal RNA", at positions 629 to 1426 of the family's 1831-position model. The record is from RNAcentral.
CGGUGUUUAACUGGCGUGAUGUGGGACGUCCUACCGGUGGGCUUAGCCUCGCGAGGGGCGGCCCAACUAAUAUCCCGUCGCGGUGCUCUUUACUGAGUGUCGAGUCGGGCCGGUACGUUUAUUUUGAACAAAUUAGAGUGCUUAAAGCAGGCUAUCCUCGCCUGAAUACUGCGUGCAUGGAAUAAUGGAAUAGGACCUCGGUUCUAUUUUGUUGGUUUUCGGAACCCCGAGGUAAUGAUUAAUAGGGACAGAUGGGGGCAUUCGUAUUGCGACGUUAGAGGUGAAAUUCUUGGAUCGUCGCAAGACGGACAGAAGCGAAAGCAUUUGCCAAAAAUGUUUUCAUUAAUCAAGAACGAAAGUUAGAGGUUCGAAGGCGAUCAGAUACCGCCCUAGUUCUAACCAUAAACGAUGCCAGCUAGCGAUCCGCCGAAGUUCCUCCGAUGACUCGGCGGGCAGCUUCCGGGAAACCAAAGCUUUUGGGUUCCGGGGGAAGUAUGGUUGCAAAGCUGAAACUUAAAGGAAUUGACGGAAGGGCACCACCAGGAGUGGAGCCUGCGGCUUAAUUUGACUCAACACGGGAAACCUCACCAGGCCCAGACACCGGAAGGAUUGACAGAUUGAUAGCUCUUUCUUGAUUCGGUGGGUGGUGGUGCAUGGGCCGUUCUUAGUUGGUGGAGCGAUUUGUCUGGUUAAUUCCGAUAACGAACGAGACUCUAGCCUGCUAAAUAGGCGUACCUUAUGGUAUCGCGAAGGCCCCCGGCUUCGGCCGGUGGGUUUUUACUACCAACGUACAAACAAAUCUUCUUAGAGGGACAGGCGG